RNAcentral lists this ribosomal RNA (538 nucleotides) under uncultured bacterium. RNAcentral's name for it is "bacterial SSU rRNA". It matches the Rfam family "Bacterial small subunit ribosomal RNA", at positions 28 to 550 of the family's 1533-position model. The record is from RNAcentral.
GACGAACGCUGGCGGCGUGCCUAAUACAUGCAAGUCGAGCGGAUGAGAAAGGAGCUUGCUCCUUUCGAUUCAGCGGCGGACGGGUGAGUAACACGUGGGCAACCUGCCUGUAAGACUGGGAUAACUCCGGGAAACCGGGGCUAAUACCGGAUAACUCAUGAGACUGCAUAGUCUGAUGAUAAAAGAUGGUUUGCUUAUCACUUACAGAUGGGCCCGCGGCGCANUAGCUAGUUGGUGAGGUAACGGCUCACAAGGCGACGAUGCGUAGCCGACCUGAGAGGGUGAUCGGCCACACUGGGACUGAGACACGGCCCAGACUCCUACCGGAGGCAGCAGUAAGGAAUCUUCCGCAAUGGACGAAAGUCUGACGGAGCAACGCCCCGUGAGCGAUGAAAGCCUUCGGGUCGUAAAGCUCUGUUGUUANGGAAGAACAAGUAUGAGUUAACUGCUCAUACCGUGACGGUACCUAACGAAAAAGCCACGGCUAACUACUGCCAGCCAGCCCCGGUAAUACCUAAGUGGCAAGCGUUGUCCGGAU